This 272-nucleotide ribosomal RNA is filed under the name uncultured bacterium. RNAcentral describes it as "partial 16S ribosomal RNA". It matches the Rfam family "Bacterial small subunit ribosomal RNA", at positions 524 to 796 of the family's 1533-position model. The record is from RNAcentral.
UACGUAGGUGGCGAGCGUUAUCCGGAAUUAUUGGGCGUAAAGGGUGCGUAGGCGGCACAUUAAGUCUAAGGUUAAAGUUCGAGGCUCAACUUCGGAUUGCCUUAGAAACUGGUGAGCUAGAGUGCAGGAGAGGGCAAUGGAAUUCCAUGUGUAGCGGUAAAAUGCGUAGAUAUAUGGAGGAACACCAGUGGCGAAGGCGGUUGCCUGGCCUGUAACUGACGCUGAGGCACGAAAGCGUGGGGAGCAAAUAGGAUUAGAUACCCCCGUAGUCC